Molecule: RNA transcript, 1885 nt
Organism: Notothenia coriiceps (black rockcod)
Lineage: Eukaryota; Metazoa; Chordata; Actinopteri; Perciformes; Nototheniidae
Gene name: tumor necrosis factor receptor superfamily member 6B-like
Exons: 5
Source: RefSeq, a predicted model, not a curated record
UCUCAAAUUUGGGAUGGAUGAAGUUUAAUUUGUGGAGAUAUUGUCCUAGAGUAAAACAAUAAAUGUCUAUUUGGGGAAAGCUUGUAAUAACAUAGUAUAAAAGGUUAUUUAGUGGAGAAUCCUUCCUAAGUAAUGAGUCAAUAAACCUUUGUGAUGACAAAAUGCAGUGUCAUGAUUCAUAAUGAGUUUUUUUUGUAUCUAUCUUCGUCAGAGCUGCAUAUAAUAAAUAGCAGAGCAGAGGGCGUAGAGAGAGCACCAUCCCACCCUUAGGCCUGGAACUCAACACUUUAACGAUGGUUCCUCCUCACUUCCAGAUGUUGGUUUCUCUCUUCCCGCUGCCGCUGCUGCUGUUGCUGCUUUCAUUGCGGGUGGCCCGGAGUGAAGAAGUACUCCCCGCCGUCCGGACCUUCACGUACACAGAUUCGGCCACCAAAGAGUCGUUGGAGUGCGACAAGUGUCCCCCGGGAACCUACCUGCGCGCACGCUGCACAGCGACGCAGAAGAGCUUCUGCGCGCCUUGUCCGUCGGGCUCGUUCACGGAGCUGUGGAAUUACAUCAGUAGGUGUUUACGAUGCAGCGCGUGUGGCUAUUACCAGGAGGUGAAGACCGCGUGCACCGCAGACCGUGACUGCCAGUGUCAGUGCAAACAGGGAUACUACUACCAGAGCCACAACGACAUGUGCUCCGGCCACAAAGAGUGUCCUUCCGGUCAAGAGGUGCUGACCAAAGGUACACCUGACGAGGACACUGUUUGCCGCAAUUGUCCCUAUGAGACCUACUCCGACACCUCCUCUGCUCUCCAGAACUGCACACAACACAAGAGCUGCGCUGCUCCAGGGCUGAAGCUGGUGCUGAAGGGCUCCGCCUGGCACGACAGCGUGUGCGCCAACUGCCAAGACCUCAAAUCAAAAGACGGGGGCGACUACCUCAAAGAGAUACUCCCAGCUUUCUUCAUCCACCACAAUAUUCCCGGCAGGCGUCUGCGUCGUUUCGCACACAGGCUUCCGACUAAGGACAGCAAAAAACAAGCAGUUUCAGGACUUACCACCUCAGAACUUCAUUCACUGAUCAACACUUGGGUCACUUCUGCCACGGCAAGUCAGAUUCGACAGCUUCCGGCGAUAUUGAAAAAUGCAGGAGUGAACUCCGAUGAUCGACUAUUGAGUAAGCUGGAGAGACUCGAUUCAAAUCUGAAGCAGAUACCGCAGUGUGUUAUAGACAUACAGGGACAUGUCAUUGUAAUAUAAGGUUAGAAAAACAAUUGAAUUGUGCUUAACAAAUAAUAUAAUAUAAAUAAUAAUGCAUUUGUUAUUUCAUCUAUUUUUACUUCCCUUUGCAAUAUGCAAUGUAAAUACAGGCUUUAUAAUUUUUUUAUUAUUUAAAGGAGAAUACCAUUCAACUCGAAAAACCAUUUCCUUUUUUUCUUUCUUAAAAUUGACCAAACAAUCUAAUCUUGAAUCUGUCACCUAGUUUUAAAUGCCCUGCUGUCCUUUACUACAACUUAAAUAAAUUAUGAGAGUCAAUAGAGAGAGAGAGAGAGAGAGAGAGAGAGAGAGAGAGAGAGAGAGAGAGAGAGAGAGAGAGAGAGAGAGAGAGAGAGAGAGAGAGAGUGUGUGCGUGCGCGUUAGUUUUAAAGAGAGAGAGAGAGAAUAAAGAAUAAAAGGUGUUGGGCAUCAGCAUAUCUACCUCUUCUUAUGUCUGUAGUUAAAAAGUGUGUGAACUUAAUUUAUAUUGCUAUUUAUCAAAACAAGGUCUGUAGCAUCCUAAGAAGGACAGGGGGGAGGAGCUGUUACUGUAUGUUGUGUUUGCAAUUUAAGAUUGAUAUACAUGCGUAUGAUGUAUGCUAAUUAAGUUAUGUGGCUACUUUGAAUGACUCAAAUAAAAA